AUUCACAAUGGGGGAAACCCUGAUGGUGCGACGCCGCGUGGGGGAAUGAAGGUCUUCGGAUUGUAAACCCCUGUCAUGUGGGAGCAAAUUAAAAAGAUAGUACCACAAGAGGAAGAGACGGCUAACUCUGUGCCAGCAGCCGCGGUAAUACAGAGGUCUCAAGCGUUGUUCGGAAUCACUGGGCGUAAAGCGUGCGUAGGCUGUUUCGUAAGUCGUGUGUGAAAGGCGCGGGCUCAACCCGCGGACGGCACAUGAUACUGCGAGACUAGAGUAAUGGAGGGGGAACCGGAAUUCUCGGUGUAGCAGUGAAAUGCGUAGAUAUCGAGAGGAACACUCGUGGCGAAGGCGGGUUCCUGGACAUUAACUGACGCUGAGGCACGAAGGCCAGGGGAGCGAAAGGGAUUAGAUACCCCUGUAGUCCUGGCAGUAAACGGUGCACGCUUGGUGUGCGGGGAAUCGACCCCCUGCGUGCCGGAGCUAACGCGUUAAGCGUGCCGCCUGGGGAGUACGGUCGCAAGAUUAAAACUCAAAGAAAUUGACGGGGACCCGCACAAGCGGUGGAGUAUGUGGCUUAAUUCGAUGCAACGCGAAGAACCUUACCUGGGCUUGACAUGUAAUGAACAACAUGUGAAAGCAUGCGACUCUUCGGAGGCGUUACACAGGUGCUGCAUGGCCGUCGUCAGCUCGUGUCGUGAGAUGUUUGGUUAAGUCCAGCAACGAGCGCAACCCCUGUUGCCAGUUACCAGCACGUGAAGGUGGGGACUCUGGCGAGACUGCCCAGAUCAACUGGGAGGAAGGUGGGGACGACGUCAGGUCAGUAUGGCCCUUAUGCCCAGGGCUGCACACGUACUACAAUGCCCAGUACAGAGGGGGCCGAAGCCGCGAGGCGGAGGAAAUCCUGAAAACUGGGCCCAGUUCGGACUGUAGGCUGCAACCCGCCUACACGAAGCCGGAAUCGCUAGUAAUGGCGCAUCAGCUACGGCGCCGUGAAUACGUUCCCGGGUCUUGUACACACCGCCCGUCACAUCAUGGAAGCCGGUCGCACCCGAAGUAUCUGAAGCCAACCGCAAGGAGGCAGGGUCCUAAGGUGAGACUGGUAACUGGGAUGAAGUCGUAACAAGGUAGCCGUAGGGGAACCUGCGGCUG
Molecule: ribosomal RNA, 1146 nt
Filed under: human gut metagenome
Description: bacterial SSU rRNA
Rfam family: Bacterial small subunit ribosomal RNA
Source: RNAcentral